GACGAACGCUGGCGGCGUGCUUAACACAUGCAAGUCGAACGGUAAGGCCCUUUCGGGGGUACACGAGUGGCGAACGGGUGAGUAACACGUGGGUAAUCUGCCCUGCACUUCGGGAUAAGCCUGGGAAACUGGGUCUAAUACCGGAUAUGAGUCCCGGCCGCAUGGUCUGGGGUUGGAAAGUUUUUUCGGUGCAGGAUGAGCCCGCGGCCUAUCAGCUUGUUGGUGGGGUAAUGGCCUACCAAGGCGACGACGGGUAGCCGGCCUGAGAGGGUGAUCGGCCACACUGGGACUGAGACACGGCCCAG
RNAcentral lists this ribosomal RNA (305 nucleotides) under uncultured bacterium. RNAcentral's name for it is "bacterial SSU rRNA". It matches the Rfam family "Bacterial small subunit ribosomal RNA", at positions 28 to 334 of the family's 1533-position model. The record is from RNAcentral.